RNAcentral lists this small nuclear RNA (107 nucleotides) under Zalophus californianus (California sea lion). RNAcentral also lists the same sequence under 2 other names. The record is from RNAcentral. Lineage: Eukaryota; Metazoa; Chordata; Mammalia; Carnivora; Otariidae.
GUGCUUCCUUCGGCAGCACAUAUACUAAGAUUGGAACAAUACAGAGAAGAUUAGCAUGGUCCCUGUGCAAAGAUGACAUGCAAAUUUGUGAAGCAUUCCAUAUUUUU